RNAcentral lists this ribosomal RNA (461 nucleotides) under uncultured Glomus. RNAcentral describes it as "partial 18S ribosomal RNA". The record is from RNAcentral. Lineage: Eukaryota; Fungi; Glomeromycota; Glomeromycetes; Glomerales; Glomeraceae.
GAUCCCUAGUCGGCAUAGUUUAUGGUUAAGACUACGACGGUAUCUGAUCGUCUUCGAUCCCCUAACUUUCGUUCUUGAUUAAUGAAAACAUCCUUGGCAAAUGCUUUCGCAGUAGUUAGUCUUCAAUAAAUCCAAGAAUUUCACCUCUGACAAUUGAAUACUAAUGCCCCCAACUAUCCCUAUUAAUCAUUACGUCAAUCCUAGAAACCAACAAAAUAGGAUCGAACGUCCUAUUUCAUUAUUCCAUGCUAAUGUAUUCAAGCGUUAGCUUGCUUUAAACACUCUAAUUUUUUCAAAGUAACAGUCCAAAUUCCCCAAAACACCAAAUUAAUGGCAUUAAGGUUCAUCAGGAAGGAGGAAUCAGUGAGACCAGUACAUACCAGAGGCAUGACCAACCUACUAACCCCGAAAUUCAACUACGAGCUUUUUAACUGCAACAACUUUAAUAUACGCUAUUGGAG